UGGCUCAGGAUGAACGCUGGCGGCAGGCUUAAUACAUGCAAGUCGAACGGUAACGACCGGUAGCAAUACUGGGGCGACGAGUGGCGCACGGGUGCGUAACGCGUAUGCAACCUGCCCUCAACCGGGACACAACGCCGAGAAAUUGGCGCUAAUAUCCCAUGUGUACAGGAGACGGCAUCGUUUUCUAUAUAAAGAUUUAUUGGUUGAGGAUGGGCAUGCGUAACAUUAGCUAGUUGGCGGGGUAACGGCUCACCAAGGCGACGAUGUUUAGGGGUUCUGAGAGGAUUCACCCCCACACUGGAACUGAGACACGGUCCAGACUCCUACGGGAGGCAGCAGUAGGGAAUAUUGGGCAAUGGAGGCAACUCUGACCCAGCCAUGCCCGCGUGAAGGAAGACGGCCCUAUGGGUUGUAAACUUCUUUUGCCGCAGAGUAACCGCGGGGACGCGUCCCCGCCUGAGAGUAUGCGGCGAAUAAGUAUCGGCUAACUCCGUGCCAGCCGCCGC
This 506-nucleotide ribosomal RNA is filed under the name uncultured bacterium. RNAcentral's name for it is "bacterial SSU rRNA". It matches the Rfam family "Bacterial small subunit ribosomal RNA", at positions 20 to 518 of the family's 1533-position model. The record is from RNAcentral.